CUCAAAUGGCUUUCUUCUCCUUCCCAUCCCACUCCACUUACCCACUGCACCAUCUCUACCAAACAGAAAUCAGAAAAGAACCAAACAAAACUGAGUCACUGAAAUUAGCAUAGAACCUGAAAGGGAGAAGAUGAAGUCAACAAGAUGAGAAGUGAAGGAGGAAAAAAGAAUGUUUCCAGUAGAAGAGAAAUGUUACUUCACAAGAAGGUCUGCCUACUCCACAGAUGAGCUUCUUUACCUGUUCCAUCCAGGGGACAAGGUGCCAUUAAAGUCCUGGAAAAAUCAAGGACCAAAUCAACAACUGGCUGAAAAAUGGACUGGAUCCCAUGAUGAGAUGCUGACCUCUCAUUCAUCAGUCAACCUGUCCAGAACGAAACCAUGGGUCCACCACUCUGAAAUAAAGGUGGCUUCACCCUAGCUUGACCCCACAGAGGAGGCUGCUUGGACAUGUGAGCCAAAAGAAGAGAUUAAAAUACUACUUAAGAAAAACCACAAAUAAGUAAAGCCCUAUUUUUAAUUUCCUGUAGAAUGAAUAGAAUGAAACACUUGCAG
This 552-nucleotide long non-coding RNA is filed under the name Homo sapiens (human). RNAcentral describes it as "HSALNT0096600". Lineage: Eukaryota; Metazoa; Chordata; Mammalia; Primates; Hominidae. The record is from RNAcentral.